UGAGGAAUAUUGGGCAAUGGGGGAAACCCUGACCCAGCCACGCCGCGUGAAGGAUGACACCCCUACGGGGCGUAAACUUCUUUUAUACGAGAAGAAAAGCCGGGUUGCCCGGCCUGACGGUAUCGUAUGAAUAAGCACCGGCUAACUCCGUGCCAGCAGCCGCGGUAAUACGGAGGGUGCAAGCGUUGUCCGGAAUUACUGGGUGUAAAGGGUGUCUAGGCGGGACUGUAAGUCAGAGGUGAAAGCCCACGGCUCAACCGUGGAAUUGCCUUUGAUACUGCAGCUCUUGAGUCCUGGAGAGGUUAUCGGAAUUCGUGGUGUAGCGGUGAAAUGCGUAGAUAUCACGAGGAACGCCAGAGACGUAGGUGGAUAACUGGACAGGUACUGACGCUGAAGCACGAAAGCGUGGGGAGCGAACAGGAUUAGAUACCCGCGUAGUCC
RNAcentral lists this ribosomal RNA (441 nucleotides) under uncultured prokaryote. Its description in RNAcentral is "bacterial SSU rRNA". It matches the Rfam family "Bacterial small subunit ribosomal RNA", at positions 355 to 796 of the family's 1533-position model. The record is from RNAcentral.